Small nucleolar RNA from Ornithorhynchus anatinus (platypus), 138 nucleotides. NCBI's taxonomy places the organism in Eukaryota, Metazoa, Chordata, Mammalia, Monotremata, Ornithorhynchidae. The record is from RefSeq and is a predicted model, not a curated record.
UCCCUCUCAGGAUCAUACCUGGAGAGUUUCCAGUACCCUACUAGUCUCGGUAAUGAGAGGGAGAGUCAAGCAGAAGCAUACCUAUUCCAUUCCUAGCUGGGCCGUUGGCUAGCAAGUGAAAGGCAAUCUGCUACAAGU